UUGUCAAAAUUAUUAAGAUUCAAGAUUCAAGAGUUUUAUUGUCAUAUGCAUAGUAAAACAGGCAGUUAUACCAUGCAAUGAAAUUCUUAUUCUGUUCAUUCUCCCAAGAAAAGAAAGAAAACAACAAGCAACAACAACAGAAGAAUUGCAUUCAUGUAAUAAGUCAUUCCGUGUGUAGUGAAUCUGUAGAAUAUAAGAGGUUUCAGAGUUUUAGCAUCAAGAGUUUCACAUUUUUUGAGCCGUUUUACAAACAAGAAACACCAGAUCCCGGAACGCAGUCCAGCAGCAAUUAAAAGUGGAUGGACUCGUUUUGUCUUCAACCACCAGGGGCCUCACUGAUAAAAUUGUGUGUGGAAAUCUGACGAAAAGUCUGCAUAUGCCAGAAACCCAAAAUGUGCGUACAAAAAUAUUCAGACGUAAAAAUUUUUUUUCGCAACUUGUCCACCUUGAAGAGAAGUGUAUGUACGCAAAUCCGCCUCAAGUUACGCCCUUCCAUGCCUGUACUUCACCAUAGAAGGCCCAUGCAAAGUGACUCAUGAAUGCACACAGCAUAUUGAGGAGUGUUAAUUUUUUGGUGUUGAUGAGAAUCUUGAAGUUGGAGUGUGAAUUUUACACUAUUUGGAGUUGAUCUAACACUGCAUUUUCUUAAAAAUGUUAAAUUUAACACUGGAUCAUGAAAGUGUUGUAGUUAAAAUGGAGUGUUGAAAAUGUUCAAAUCUUGUUAGUGUCACAAUAAAGACAUUCAACACUUCCACACUCCAUUUAACACCUAACAGUGUUCACGUGUCUUAAGCUCCGCCCACGGACAUGUCAUUUAGACUCCACCCCUCACUUCACGUUGCUGAAAUGAAAAGCAAAUGGAAGAAGUUGACAAUUAGGAAUCAUUUUGCAUCAGUAGGUAAGUAAACGUUUAAAUGCUGUAGAUGAACUAAUGAAUUGUGUUGUACCUUGUUUACACAUAAAAAACGUUAGUUUUUGGUGUGAUAUUUAAGACUAAAAAACUGAGGCACCUGUUUCCACCCAAAGCCUUUGCUAAUGUUAGCUCGUGUUUUUGCUAAGUUAUAUUUUCUGUUUAGUGUUGCUGUGAGCUGAAUCGGCACUACCUGUGCAACAUUUGGCAAAGUAAGUGAACGCUACCUUAUAUCUUCAUUAUACUGUCUUCAUUUUGAAUGAGCUAAUGGCUAACUAGCUAAUUGGCACGAGGAGCCCCCACGUAGGCCUGCUGGCCCACAGCAAAGGACUUGAUAUGCUGUACAAGAUACAAGAUAUCAAGCAAACCUUUCCUUGAGUCUUACGUGAAUGUGAGGUGGAUGGAGAUGUGUAGACUCCACUAUCCCUUCACCCCAGUUAUUGCCAGUUGGUGCGAGCCUCCACUCUUGCCGACUACAUCCCAUUCAUUAGGUUUGACAAUUUAUCCUUCAACCCACAAGAGGAACCCAACAGAACCAAUGGAUCAGGAUGAAGCAUGACAGUCCGUGGUGUUUUGAGGGCCAAUCCGAAAGGUGAGGAAAUCUUCAAGGAGUGCACCAAGACUGAAACACUAACCGAUGCAACGUGUAAACAGAUGGUGAACAUCCUGGUUGCAGAUAUGAUGGAGCUGCAUGGGAGAGUUCCGCCAUCAUGUGUGAUGAGAAAUUACGCCCUGAGAAUUGUGACUUGUUUUCCAUACCUCAAAGAUCCAUUCUCCAAACCUGGAUAUGAUGCUUAGCUUAGCGGCAGUGGCUCAAGAGGUAGAGCAGGUCGUCCAGAAAUCGUAAGGCUGGUUCGAUCCUUGCGCCCAGUCACUGUUGUGUCCUACACGGCUCUCAAAGCCGUUCCAAGACUGUUUCUUCAUGAUGGUCCAAAAACCAGAGGAGAAUAUCUGUUAACUGGUCAACAGCUGUUUGGUGAGGAGUGCAAGGAGGCACUAUCUACAAUAAGACAUUCAACCGAUGAAUCCGUGGUUAAAGAAGAUGAGAGCAAUUUUCCAGUAUCGAUCCAAGCGGAAGAUGUAUCAUUGUCUGUCCUUGAUGUGUUCACUCGCUUCCUUGAUGUUCUAGGAUUGAUUGACCAGGAUUUCACAAUGACGUUUGCUGAUGAAGUAUCUCAGAGGUUCCUGGCUAAGUGGUCAACUGUCUUCAAAGCAAAAGUCAUUGCAGACUGCAAGACUCUCCCGCAAAAGCGGAACAUCGAUGAGUUGCUGUCAGGAACUGAACCUCAACCUGAUGACAGCUGUGGCUGGGGCAGUGAUACAUCCUCCAUCCUUCUACUCCUGCAUCUGCUCCCUCUGACCUCUAGAGGCCAGGAAAAAACAGCAAAGAUCAGUUUGUCAAGCAGCCAACCAUCUUCUCAGAUAUCUUAAGGAAGGAGCCAGUGUGACCCCCUUCCAAGACCUUUGACACAAGACAACCAUUUCUCCUCUGCAUCAGUGAGCGAAGGUGACAUCCAGAGGUUCUACAUUAUUAUUGACCAAAAGCCGGUUCCAUGCAAGGCACAUACAUUUAUUGCAGCUUUUGAUGAACUGUUCAAAGCUUACUAUGUCUUCAGUCUCCCGUAUGGUUAAAAGUGGAUAAGAGCAAACAUUUGGGUCUGAAUGCUGCCCAGUCAUGGUGUCUUCUAUGUAACACUCCACUUAUAUUUGGUGAUGGCAUUGAAAGGAAGAAUGAUCACUGGAACUUCCUCCUCCUUUUGAUGCAGAUUGUCAACAUACCUGUAGUGUUCUCCUCCUACACUAUAACUGAUGGAAUGAUCCUUUACUUGAAACAUCUGAAAAGUGACCACCACACUCGGUACAAAGCAUUGCUUCCUGGUAAGAAGUUGAUUCCCAAGCACCGCUUGAUGAUACACUAUCCAAGACGCAUACAAAAAAUUGGCCCUCUUUUCCAGACGUGGUGAAUGCGUUUUUGAAGCCAAACACAAUUUUUUCAAAAGGUGUGGUUAAAAUUUUUAAAAAUCUCAGCCGUUUGUCGUGGCCUUUCACUAUGAAAAUUAUUAUUUAAGAAGAUUUGAAUUUGGCCCUACAUCAAAAACAAUCUGCAACUUGAAAGGAGGGGAGGAGCGUGGUCAGGUAUGUCUGCAAGCAUCUUCCAAAUGUGUCAAGUACCAACUGGGUGAGAAGUUACGGUAUAGAGCACCAUGUUGGUGUGUUCAUAUGUACUGGAUGUACAUACAUGAUCUACCUGUGUUCAAGAAGAUCUGGGAUAUAAUAAAACACAAAGAAUGUGCUUUCAUAAUAGCUGUAAUGUAGAAACAAUGUACUAUGAUGACCUGUUUAACGCGUACUGCAUAGAAGACCAAAUGCUUGAGUUUUCUGUCAUGUGUUUAAAUGAACUGACUCAUUUCAGACC
This is a long non-coding RNA of Dunckerocampus dactyliophorus (ringed pipefish), 3326 nucleotides long. RefSeq lists it as uncharacterized. The transcript has 9 exons. Lineage: Eukaryota; Metazoa; Chordata; Actinopteri; Syngnathiformes; Syngnathidae. The record is from RefSeq and is a predicted model, not a curated record.